RNAcentral lists this ribosomal RNA (399 nucleotides) under Vibrio alginolyticus. RNAcentral's name for it is "bacterial SSU rRNA". It matches the Rfam family "Bacterial small subunit ribosomal RNA", at positions 392 to 784 of the family's 1533-position model. Lineage: Bacteria; Pseudomonadati; Pseudomonadota; Gammaproteobacteria; Vibrionales; Vibrionaceae. The record is from RNAcentral.
CCAUGCCGCGUGUGUGAUGAAGGCCAUCGGGUUGUAAAGCACUUUCAGUCGUGAGGAAGCUGGUGUAGUUAAUAGCUGCAUUACUUGACGUUAGCGACAGAAGAAGCACCGGCUAACUCCGUGCCAGCAGCCGCGGUAAUAGGAGGGUGCGAGCGUUAAUCGGAAUUACUGGGCGUAAAGCGCAUGCAGGUGGUUUGUUAAGUCAGAUGUGAAAGCCCGGGGCUCAACCUCGGAAUAGCAUUUGAAACUGGCAGACUAGAGUACUGUAGAGGGGCGUAGAAUUUCAGGUGUUGCGGAGAAAUGCGUAGAGAUCUGAAGGAAAACCGGUGGCGAAGGCGGCCCCCUGGACAGAUACUGACACUCAGAUGCGAAAGCGUGGGGAGCAAACAGGAUUAGAUA